CAGAAUUUCCUCUACAACGUGCUGGAGCGGCCGCGCGGCUGGGCGUUCAUCUACCACGCCUACGUGUGUCUGUGCCUGCCUGUGCGUUUCUAAACAGAAU
Molecule: small RNA, 100 nt
Filed under: Pongo abelii (Sumatran orangutan)
Lineage: Eukaryota; Metazoa; Chordata; Mammalia; Primates; Hominidae
Description: processed transcript
Source: RNAcentral